UUGAAAACAACUUCUCUCUUAUGAUCACCGAAGAUAAGCAACGUUGUGCUUGGUCAGUAACAAGAUGGGUGAUCACUUGCGAAUACCAGGAGCUGUAA
Non-coding RNA from Acanthosepion pharaonis, 98 nucleotides. Lineage: Eukaryota; Metazoa; Mollusca; Cephalopoda; Sepiida; Sepiidae. The record is from the annotation of a GenBank genome assembly.